GUCUUUUGUUGGAGUUACCAGAUCUUGGAGUCUCACUCGGGCGGACAGAGAGACGGAUCUCCACCGGGAUCUCCUCGCACCGCGACUGUACCUGGAGAAUCCGAUUGACUCAAAUAGAACACAGAGGAGAUUCCUGUGGAGUCUGUCCUUCUUUCACCCAGUAAGAGACAGCUGAGUUUAGACUCUGUUUAAACUCAUAUUAGCACAUCUUCCGUAACUCUGACCAGCAGCA
Cyprinus carpio (common carp) is the source of this 232-nucleotide long non-coding RNA. The record is from Ensembl. NCBI's taxonomy places the organism in Eukaryota, Metazoa, Chordata, Actinopteri, Cypriniformes, Cyprinidae.